Molecule: ribosomal RNA, 600 nt
Filed under: uncultured bacterium
Lineage: Bacteria
Description: bacterial SSU rRNA
Rfam family: Bacterial small subunit ribosomal RNA
Source: RNAcentral
CGGUCGCAAGACUAAAACUCAAAGAAAUUGACGGGGACCCGCACAAGCGGUGGAGUAUGUGGCUUAAUUCGAUGCAACGCGAAGAACCUUACCAAGGCUUGACAUGUAUUGCUAAGCACGUGAAAGCGUGUGACCCUUCGGGGACCUUACACAGGUGCUGCAUGGCCGUCGUCAGCUCGUGUCGUGAGAUGUUUGGUUAAGUCCAGCAACGAGCGCAACCCCUGUGAAUAGUUGCCAGCACGUAAUGGUGGGGACUCUAUUCAGACUGCCCAGGUCAACUGGGAGGAAGGUGGGGAUGACGUCAGGUCAGUAUGGCCCUUACGCCUUGGGCUGCACACGUACUACAAUGCCCAGUACAAUGAGAACCGAUACCGCGAGGUGGAGGAAAUCUGUAAAACUGGGCCCAGUUCGGAUUGGAGGCUGCAACUCGCCUCCAUGAAGUUGGAAUCGCUAGUAAUGGCACAUCAGCUACGGUGCCGUGAAUACGUUCCCGGGUCUUGUACACACCGCCCGUCACAUCAUGGAAGCCGAUCGCACCCGAAGUAUCUGCGCUAACUUUUUAAGAAGCAAGGUCCUAAGGUGUAGUUGGUAACUGGGAUG